Mirounga angustirostris (Northern elephant seal) is the source of this 970-nucleotide long non-coding RNA. RefSeq lists it as uncharacterized. The transcript has 3 exons. The record is from RefSeq and is a predicted model, not a curated record. Lineage: Eukaryota; Metazoa; Chordata; Mammalia; Carnivora; Phocidae.
AAGAAAUGGGAAGACAAGAUGUGUGCACUAGUAUUUGAGUCCUUUCAUGGCAGUUACAUGGGAGAGUCAAAAGUAGAACUUGCCAACCACCAGAAGCCAGAUAAGCCCCACAAAACACCAAGAGAGGAAUCGGAUUAAUCAGUGAAAAGCAUUGCCGGAGAAGAGGAGGGACACACUGACUGAGGAGUUUGGGAGAAAGAACCAGGCCUACAAGUCAGCUCCAGCUCUGCUCUGCCCCUGACCUGAAUGCAAGAUGCCUGCACCUGGCCGCUCUCAGUAGCCUGAGGAAGGUCUGCGGUUGUCCAGCUAUGCAGUGACUGAGGACCAUUGGUCAGGAUCCCAUGUUACCCUCCCCCCAGCCUUCCAGAUGAUGCUUCAGAUUGAUCCUGGCUCUCAGCAUCCACCUUGACCCAGGCUUUGAUUCUACUUAUCAGUGCCCGACUUCACCAGCAAUUCCCAAGCCCUGCCUACACUUACCAAGACAUCAGCCUGGGAUCUAGAGGUAUCAUGCUCAGUUCCACCCACACGUAAUUUGCAUUGGUAUUUCUCUCCCCACAUGCCUUUUGCUAUUUUAGCUUCUCUCAGAUAUAAAGUCUUUGUUCUAAAAGUCCUCACGUCCUGAAUUACUUCCUUGCCCUCUUUACAGGAUCAAAACCAGCUGUUGGAGCUGGUCAUUCCUUUCACUAACAAUCGGGUCUGGCUUUUAAGUUAGAGCUCAUUAAUGUCUGGCCUUAUCUUUAUUUUUUGAAGCAUAAUCCCAGGGCAGAUGGCAAAGAGAAUGGAGAAGGGGUAGAAGACAGAAGGAAGAGGUUAGAACGGAAAGAAAAUAUCCUCCUUUGAAGCUUUCCAUAAUGCUGUCUUUAUCAUUAUAAAGAUGCAAAAGAGGAGGAGGAGGAAAAAGAGGAAAGGGGGAAAUAGAAAGAUUUUAUCAGAAGAGGAAGAAUAAAGGCCUGGUAAAUGCUUCUUGGAA